This 841-nucleotide ribosomal RNA is filed under the name delta proteobacterium FM3-A12. RNAcentral's name for it is "bacterial SSU rRNA". It matches the Rfam family "Bacterial small subunit ribosomal RNA", at positions 87 to 912 of the family's 1533-position model. Lineage: Bacteria; Deltaproteobacteria. The record is from RNAcentral.
UGAGUAGAGUGGCGCACGGGUGAGUAACGCGUGGGUAAUCUACCCUUGGAUUUGGGAUAACUCUGCGAAAGUGGAGCUAAUACCGGAUAGUCUGGCUUUAAAUAAGAAGUCGGUAAAGGAUGCCUCUGCAUAUGCAUUCGUCCGAGGAUGAGCCCGCGUCUCAUUAGCUAGUUGGUAGGGUAAUGGCCUACCAAGGCAACGAUGAGUAGCUGGUCUGAGAGGAUGAUCAGCCACACUGGAACUGAAACACGGUCCAGACUCCUACGGGAGGCAGCAGUGGGGAAUAUUGCGCAAUGGGCGAAAGCCUGACGCAGCAACGCCGUGUGAGGGAUGAAGGCUUUCGGGUCGUAAACCUCUGUCGGAAGGGAAGAACGGGCAUUGGUCUAAUAGGCCUUUGUUUUGACGGUACCUUUAGAGGAAGCACCGGCUAACUCCGUGCCAGCAGCCGCGGUAAUACGGAGGGUGCAAGCGUUAUUCGGAAUUACUGGGCGUAAAGCGCACGUAGGCGGCCUUGUAAGUCAGGGGUGAAAUCCCACGGCUCAACCGUGGAACUGCCUUUGAAACUGCAGGGCUUGAAUCCUGGAGAGGGUGGCGGAAUUCCUGGUGUAGGAGUGAAAUCCGUAGAUAUCAGGAGGAACACCGGUGGCGAAGGCGGCCACCUGGACAGGCAUUGACGCUGAGGUGCGAAAGUGUGGGGAGCAAACAGGAUUAGAUACCCUGGUAGUCCACACCGUAAACGAUGGAUACUAGGUGUCGGGGACUUGAUCUUCGGUGCCGUAGCUAACGCGUUAAGUAUCCCGCCUGGGGAGUACGGUCGCAAGGCUGAAACUCAAAGAAAUUG